GACGAACGCUGGCGGCGUGCUUAACACAUGCAAGUCGAACGGAAAGUCCCUGCUUUUGUGGGGUGCUCGAGUGGCGAACGGGUGAGUAACACGUGAGUAACCUGCCCUUGACUUUGGGAUAACUUCAGGACACUGGGGCUAAUACCGGAUAGGAGCUCCUGCUGCAUGGUGGGGGUUGGACAGUUUCGGCGGUUGGGGAUGGACUCGCGGCUUAUUAGCUUGUUGGUGGGGUAGUGGCUUACCAAGGCUUUGACGGGUAGCCGGCCUGAGAGGGUGACCGGCCACCUUGGGACUGAGAUACGGCCCAGACUCCUACGGGAGGCAGCAGGGGGGAAGAUUGCACAAGGGGCGGAAUCCUGAUGCAGCAACGCACGGUGCGGUAUGACGGCCUUCGGGUUGUAAACCGCUUUCGCCUGUGACGAAGAGUGAGUGACGGUAAUGGGUAAAGAAGCACCUGCUAACUACGUG
This 468-nucleotide ribosomal RNA is filed under the name uncultured bacterium. RNAcentral's name for it is "partial 16S ribosomal RNA". It matches the Rfam family "Bacterial small subunit ribosomal RNA", at positions 28 to 507 of the family's 1533-position model. The record is from RNAcentral.